RNAcentral lists this ribosomal RNA (292 nucleotides) under uncultured bacterium. RNAcentral's name for it is "partial 16S ribosomal RNA". It matches the Rfam family "Bacterial small subunit ribosomal RNA", at positions 505 to 796 of the family's 1533-position model. The record is from RNAcentral.
GUGUCAGCCGCCGCGGUAAUACGAAGGGGGCUAGCGUUGUUCGGAAUUACUGGGCGUAAAGGGCGCGUAGGCGGUUUGACCAGUCAGGUGUGAAAUUCCCGGGCUUAACCUGGGGGCUGCACUUGAUACUGUCAGGCUUGAAUUCGGGAGAGGAUAGUGGAAUUCCCAGUGUAGAGGUGAAAUUCGUAGAUAUUGGGAAGAACACCAGUGGCGAAGGCGACUAUCUGGACCGACAUUGACGCUGAGGCGCGAAAGCGUGGGGAGCAAACAGGAUUAGAAACCCUCGUAGUCC